RNAcentral lists this ribosomal RNA (421 nucleotides) under uncultured bacterium. RNAcentral describes it as "bacterial SSU rRNA". It matches the Rfam family "Bacterial small subunit ribosomal RNA", at positions 28 to 444 of the family's 1533-position model. The record is from RNAcentral.
GACGAACGCUGGCGGCGCGCCUAACACAUGCAAGUCGAACGGAGCUUAAAGAGCUUGCUUUUUAAGCUUAGUGGCGAACGGGUGAGUAACGCGUGAGUAACCUGCCCUAGAGUGGGGGACAACAGUUGGAAACGACUGCUAAUACCGCAUAAGCCCACGGUACCGCAUGGUACUGAGGGAAAAGGAUUUAUUCGCUUUAGGAUGGACUCGCGUCCAAUUAGCUAGUUGGUGAGGUAACGGCCCACCAAGGCGACGAUUGGUAGCCGGACUGAGAGGUUGAACGGCCACAUUGGGACUGAGACACGGCCCAGACUCCUACGGGAGGCAGCAGUGGGGGAUAUUGCACAAUGGGGGAAACCCUGAUGCAGCGACGCCGCGUGGAGGAAGAAGGUUUUCGGAUUGUAAACUCCUGUCGUUAGGG